UUGCUGCAAGUCUUGCUGUGUUUGCUGCCUAUAGUUUGGUUAAGGGUUAGAGAGGAGAUUUAUAUUUUUGACGUGGAGGUCUUCUAUAAAUUCCUUGUUGUAAAAACUGCAACCAUUAUAGUGCAUUUGCUUCCUGUUACGGAAGGACACUGGAUGUAGGCAUUGUUGGCCAAACCAGUAUAAAAACCAGUGUUUGAUUUUCUUUAUACCUGCACUUUUACUUACAAUCGACUUUACGAUUCCCGCAG
Molecule: long non-coding RNA, 248 nt
Filed under: Vigna radiata
Lineage: Eukaryota; Viridiplantae; Streptophyta; Magnoliopsida; Fabales; Fabaceae
Description: long non-coding RNA (VRAD_LNC016763)
Source: RNAcentral